This is a long non-coding RNA of Gallus gallus (chicken), 2343 nucleotides long. RefSeq lists it as uncharacterized. The transcript has 2 exons. Lineage: Eukaryota; Metazoa; Chordata; Aves; Galliformes; Phasianidae. The record is from RefSeq and is a predicted model, not a curated record.
GGAACACAAGGAGCGGGCAGGCAGAAAGGCAAGGGAAGCCAUGAUGGAUCCGAGCGCCACAAGCAGGGCCGCGCCUGCCGCCGGACGCCGGUUCAGAAGGAAGUGAAUCUGCUGAUAACCAAACCAAGCAACAUACAGGAAAAAUGCCUAUUGCAGGAGGACAAGAUUAUGAGAUGAGGACUGCUUUCAGAUUUGGCUGUGAUGGUGCCCAGAUGGUGAAGAAGCACAAAAGGCAGGUUUGACUGUAAAGCGACUCAUUCUGUCAAUACACCAAACAUAUUGGUGAUAAGUACUUUAAUCGUUCCAGUCCAUGGAUCCACUCCAAACAAAUUACUGGUGAACUUCUUCUCAAGACACAGAUAAUUACAGGAAAAAUAAAACUCUUCAAAGCAUUAUUUUAAAAGUAAUCCUCCAUACUUUUAAAAGAAAAAUACCAAAAUCUGCAACUCCUUUCUUCCAAGUCUGUUAGUUUGACCACACCUCUGGGAUUUGAACACCGAUAUUCCUUCACUGUAUGGCACAUUCACUGAGAUUUGCAGUAUCUUCCCCCUUCAGAUCCUCAGUCAAGCUUUCUUUCUGCUCUAUUUCUACCUGGAGGAGGAAAAAGAACAUUGAUAAUGAGAAAAAAAAACAACCAAACGAAAAUUGAAAAAUCCUUAGUGGUCACUGCUCAGAUGAUGCAAGCCUUGGUAAAAUGAGAGGACUGUAAAGAGUAAUAGACUGAGGAGGGAAAGAUGGAUUUCAUUUACUGUAAGGGUUUCAAGUCAAAUCCAAACAAUUCUAUAAUUCAACAGUGUCAUAGCAAUUUCUGGAAGAAAAAACAUCAUUAAGAGAAUUGAUCUCAUUUUUUAUUCAUCCCCAGUCCCAUCUGUAUUUUGUAUCCAAAUCCAGAACCAAACCUGCAGAGCAUAGGUGGCUUUUUACAUGACAGCCUAGUCUCAGUUUUAAACUCUGCAAAGCAACUGAUGAAAGCAAAGAGAUUCAUUUGCAAAAGGCACACAUAUCUUUUUUCUGAAUUUUGAUACCUCCAAAAAUUCAGGGACAAUCGAAUGUCUAAUUCUUGGAAUGGAAGAUCAAAUAUAAUCUCUGGGGAAUUUCAGAUACUACGAAAAAUGUAAUAACAUUUCAUAUUAAAAAUAUUUGCCAUGGGAAUCUUUUCAGUAUCUCUCAUCAUUACUCUUACAAAAGGCAGGUAGAAUGCUUAUUUGUCUGCUGAGUGAUCAUCUACCAUGCAAGUCUGGCAUACUGAGAUUCUUGGCAGGUAUACAUAUUGUGUAUUUUUCCAUCUGUUCAUCUCCUUAGGGCAGGCAGAAAAAAACAAUAAGCGCAGAAGCAAUGUGAUCCUUCUGUCUGCUGUAGUACUCCCACUGUAGCAAAAGUCCCUGUUCACACUCCUAGUUUAUCAGCUUCUUCCCAGGAACUGGUUGUAUACAUGCUCUUCCACAAAGCCACUGUAAGCAGUAUUAGUCCAUUUUCACUGAGCCAUAAUCCACAGCUUGUCUGCCCCGAAUCUGCAGGCUGCACAUGGGGAGCCACUGCACAGAGCUUGACAUGUACCAAAUUCCCAUUUGUUUGCCUAGACUUUUCAAGACAAUGAAGUAUGCAAAGUAACCAUGGUGACUGACAAAUGCUUAUUUUUACCUUGUAACUGUAGUGUGCUGAAUAGUUGACCCACUUUCUCACACCAGUCUUGUCCUCAACAGAGAUGGACCGAACAGUGGCUUUGGAUGCAGAAGUAGUGGGCAUGUCAAAUUCCACAUCUACGUGGCGGACAAAACUGGAAGGCACUUCUCGGUCAGAGCCAAGCUCUAGGUGACAGAAGAAGCAGUGUGGAUGGCCAGAAGCUGGAAAAAGAGAGCAAACAGACAUGAAAGUUGUCUUGCUUUGUUGAGAGAAGAUUGCAUGUAGGUAAAAGCAGCAUCAUGAAACAGUAAGAAACCGAGAAUCUGCCUGGGCGAAAUACUUUGCGUCAAAUGUCAGGAUCUUAUCUGUUUUAAUGCCAUUGAAACUCCAUACUCUGGAGUAUCAGUUUGGUUUAAUUAGUAAAUAAAUUAAAUGAACUGCAAAAGAAUGACUGUCAAUCAGUCCAAUUUGCUUUCAGUGUGUGAAAAUUCAAGAUGUAAAUUAACCACCAUAGGUAAAGAUAUUUUCCCUCUUCUCAUUACCUCAGUCUAUGUAACAGGCUAAGAACACUGUGGCAUAUUCUUCUAAAAUAUCGUGUAUUGAUAGUAAAUAAAGGUAGAUUUGACAGAUAUUUCAUAGUUAUUUUUGAUAUGGUUAUCCCCAUUUAUUGUGAAAGCAAACAUACUGGAUAACAUUAAACUUUCCUGGGUUCAGAAAGCA